AUCUGUGUUAGUGAGCACUUCUCCUUUGCCGAGAUAAUCCAUCCACCUCACAGGUGUGGCAUAUCAAGAUGCUGAUUAGACAGCAUGAUUAUUGCACAGGUGUGCCUUAGGCUUGCCACAAUAAAAGGCCACUCUAAAAUGUGCAGUUUUAUGCCACACCUGUGAGGUGGAUGGAUUAUCUCGGCAAAGGUGAAGUGCUCAGUAACACAGAU
Non-coding RNA from Pelobates cultripes (western spadefoot toad), 212 nucleotides. NCBI's taxonomy places the organism in Eukaryota, Metazoa, Chordata, Amphibia, Anura, Pelobatidae. The record is from the annotation of a GenBank genome assembly.